GCGGGGUAGUUUAAUGGUAGAACAUGAGCUUCCCAAGCUCAGAGCGCGGGUUCGAUUCCCGUCACCCGCUCCA
This 73-nucleotide transfer RNA is filed under the name Streptomyces sp. A02. RNAcentral describes it as "tRNA-Gly (CCC) (tRNA-Gly-CCC-1-1)". It matches the Rfam family "tRNA". Rfam says of the family: Transfer RNA (tRNA) molecules are approximately 80 nucleotides in length. Their secondary structure includes four short double-helical elements and three loops (D, anti-codon, and T loops). The record is from RNAcentral. Lineage: Bacteria; Bacillati; Actinomycetota; Actinomycetes; Kitasatosporales; Streptomycetaceae.